RNAcentral lists this ribosomal RNA (253 nucleotides) under uncultured bacterium. RNAcentral's name for it is "partial 16S ribosomal RNA". It matches the Rfam family "Bacterial small subunit ribosomal RNA", at positions 524 to 776 of the family's 1533-position model. The record is from RNAcentral.
UACGUAGGGUGCAAGCGUUAAUCGGAAUUACUGGGCGUAAAGGGUGCGCAGGCGGCGUCGCAAGUCAGGCGUGAAAUCCCCGGGCUUAACCUGGGGACUGCACUUGAAACUACGAUGCUGGAGUAUGGCAGAGGGAGGUGGAAUUCCACGUGUAGCGGUGAAAUGCGUAGAGAUGUGGAGGAACACCGAUGGCGAAGGCAGCCUCCUGGGCCAAUACUGACGCUCAUGCACGAAAGCGUGGGGAGCAAACAGG